Molecule: ribosomal RNA, 465 nt
Filed under: uncultured bacterium
Lineage: Bacteria
Description: partial 16S ribosomal RNA
Rfam family: Bacterial small subunit ribosomal RNA
Source: RNAcentral
CCUACGUGAUGCAGCAGUAGGGAAUCUUCCACAAUGGACGAAAGUCUGAUGGAGCAACGCCGCGUUAGUGAAGAAGGGUUUCGGCUCGUAAAGCUCUGUUGGUAUUGAAGAAAGAUAGAGGUAGUAACUGGCCUUUAUUUGCCGUUAAUUACUUCGAACGUCACGGCUAACUACGUGCCAGCAGCCGCGGUACUACGUAGGUGGCAAUCGUUGUACGGAUUUAUUUGGCGUAAAGCGAGUGCAGGCGGUUCAAUAAGUCUGAUGUGAAAGCCUUAGGCUCAACCGGAGAAUUGCAUCAGAAACUGUUGAACUUGAGUGCAGAAGAGGAGAGCGGAACUCCAUGUGUAGCGGUGGAAUGCGUAGAUAUAUGGAAGAACACCAGGGGCGAAGGCGGCUCUCUGGUCUGCAACUGACGCUGAGGCUCGAAAGCAUGGGUAGCGAACAGGAUUAGAUACCCGUGUAGUC